This 488-nucleotide ribosomal RNA is filed under the name Rhodinia verecunda. Its description in RNAcentral is "partial 16S ribosomal RNA". The stretch from base 1 to 162 matches the Rfam family "Archaeal large subunit ribosomal RNA", at positions 1890 to 2097 of the family's 2987-position model. Lineage: Eukaryota; Metazoa; Arthropoda; Insecta; Lepidoptera; Saturniidae. The record is from RNAcentral.
GCCUGUUUAUCAAAAACAUGUCUUUUUGAAAAUAAUUUAAAGUCUAAUCUGCCCACUGAUAUAAAUUGAAGGGCUGCAGUAUUUUGACUGUACAAAGGUAGCAUAAUCAUUAGUCUCUUAAUUGGUGACUUGUAUGAAGGAUUGGAUGAGAUAUAAACUGUCUUAAUUUUAUUUAAUUGAAUUUAAUUUUUUAAUUAAAAAGUUAAAAUAUAUUAAAAAGACGAGAAGACCCUAUAGAGUUUUAUAUUAAUUUAAAUUAUAAUUAUUUAUAAAAUUUAUUUAUUAGUAAUUUUUUUUUAAUAUUUUAUUGGGGUGAUAAAAAAAUAAAUAAAACUUUUUUUAAUAUUAAACAAAAAUAAAUGAAUUAAUGAUCCAAUUUUACUGAUUAAAAGAAAAAAUUACCUUAGGGAUAACAGCGUAAUUUUUUCUUUUAGGCCUUAUAAGAUAAAAAGUUUGCGACCUCGAUGUUGGAUUAAGAUAAAAUUUAA